GCCCAGACUCCUACGGGAGGCAGCAGUGGGGAAUAUUGCACAAUGGGGGAAACCCUGAUGCAGCGACGCCGCGUGAGUGAAGAAGUAUUUCGGUACGUAAAGCUCUAUCAGCAGGGAAGAAAAAAAGUCCUUUGGACUUUGGACGGUACCUGACCAAGAAGCCCCGGCUAACUACGUGCCAGCAGCCGCGGUAAUACGUAGGGGGCAAGCGUUAUCCGGAUUUACUGGGUGUAAAGGGAGCGUAGACGGCGUGGCAAGUCAGAUGUGAAAGCCCGGGGCUCAACCCCGGGACUGCAUUUGAAACUGUCAGGCUGGAGUGCCGGAGGGGUAAGCGGAAUUCCUGGUGUAGCGGUGAAAUGCGUAGAUAUCAGGAGGAACACCGGCGGCGAAGGCGGCUUACUGGACGGCAACUGACGUUGAGGCCCGAAAGCGUGGGGAGCGAACAGGAUUAGAUACCCCAGUA
This 463-nucleotide ribosomal RNA is filed under the name uncultured bacterium. RNAcentral's name for it is "bacterial SSU rRNA". It matches the Rfam family "Bacterial small subunit ribosomal RNA", at positions 329 to 792 of the family's 1533-position model. The record is from RNAcentral.